Molecule: non-coding RNA, 42 nt
Filed under: Trypanosoma brucei brucei
Lineage: Eukaryota; Euglenozoa; Kinetoplastea; Trypanosomatida; Trypanosomatidae
Source: RNAcentral
AUCACUACAUAAAAGCCGGACGCAGUGAUAUACAGUGACAUA